This is a long non-coding RNA of Oncorhynchus tshawytscha (Chinook salmon), 587 nucleotides long. RefSeq lists it as uncharacterized. The transcript is spliced from 3 exons. The record is from RefSeq and is a predicted model, not a curated record. NCBI's taxonomy places the organism in Eukaryota, Metazoa, Chordata, Actinopteri, Salmoniformes, Salmonidae.
UAACAGUAUAACAACACAUUUUUGUUACUUGGGUAUCUCUCUACCAACAGGAUCCAUUUCCUGAAGCUGAUGAUGAUGUCACAUACAGCACUGUCAGCCUCCAGCACAAGACCCAACUAAAAGGACAGACCAAGUCAGCAGAACCAGAUGAUAAUGUGGUCUACAGCUCACUAGCUCUACAGGUGACCACACAGCAGAGGGCAGCAGCAGCACAGUAGUGACUGACAGAGAAGACCUUCCUUUUACUGGAAGGACAGAACACUCCCCUCUCCUGUGUCACAACAUCUGUCUGCCUCCAAUAUGAUUCUGUCAUACCUCUUAACCCAUCCCAGGAAGACACCUCUAUCCUUUAGUGUAAUAAACUACUGAAGGCAGUCUGCUGUGUUUGUUCUGAUUAUCAUCACAUUUCUGUUAUUAGUUAUGUUCCACCACCUUUCCCCUUGUCUCUUAUUUCUUACAUCAUGAUCUCAUUGAUCUAGUUUAAUGUCCUAUGCCUGUAACUAAUCAUGAUCAAACGUGUAUUAAGAUCUUAGUAUAGACAGCUACUAUGUAUAAUAACUACUGUACUGCAAUAAUAAAAUGUACUA